UGAGCGGAGGGCACUGCCGUGGCUGUGUGAUGUGGCCGGCAAGGCUGUACAGUGGCCGCGUCGCCUUGGCGGCUGCAACCACCGCUGGGCGGGGAGAGAGAGCCUACCCAAGAGCCGAAGCGCAAGUGGCGCCACACCUCACGGUUCUCUCCUCUCCUGCCAUCACACUCCGGCGGAUGGCGCACUUUUCAAGCACGCCGACCAGCUUGUGCUCUCGAUCCCCCACCUCACCGCUCGAUGCGCUUGUGGAUGAGGUGAGCCCCUUCAUCCCGGCAACAUUCACCUCGAUUCCGCAAAUCUCACGUCAGCUGCCGCCAGAGCUGAUGGAGCGCGUGUGUGACCCCGUCUGCGGUGGCUUGCGGCCCCUCUUGUCUCGCUACGCGGAGCGCUUUGAAAGCAAAAUGAUCGGGCAGGUUCACGUGGUGCGCAGCCGCCUCAGGCAGAGAGAAUCGACAGCGCCGUGCCGCCGGGCCAACGCAGGUGCCGAAGCGGGUCACUCGUUCGCCGUUCCAUUGUCCUCGUCUGGUAAUGCCGCUGCUACAGCCCCAAAGUCGAACUCGGUGGACCUCCAGGCUAUUUUCACUGAACUCCAGGAGCUGUUCCCGAGCUACCUCGUGCCAGUCAAGGCCCUCUGGACGACUGCCCCGGAGGCCGAGGAGCAGCAGGUAAGGGCCCGCGUACUCGAUGCUCUUCGGUCGCCGCAGCACAGAGCAUGGCUCACCUUUCACGAGCACCCGGCGCACUGCGCCUCUCGCAGUACUUCAGCUGAUGAGGGGGAGCGGACUCACGUGCUCGAACACGGGUAUGUGCAACUGCGACUCGACCCUGCGGCAGGCGAUAACAGGGCCGCCGCGCCAAUGCCGCAGUCGCCAAACACGCGGAUGGCGGGGCAUGAGGUGCAGCCGUACGAGUGGUACCGGGUGGCGCGUGUACUGCCGACCACAGCAAGGGAGCUGCUCUUCUCGGGUGAGCUGCAAGAGCAGGCAACCCUUCUCCUGCCACCCGGGCGGGAUGUCUGGCACGUUUUGUUGAGCGCGCCUGCUCUGUUUGAGCUUCGCUAUGCGGCCCCCACGACCGUCCAUAGCGGGCAACAGGCACGCGUGCCGACCCUCUCUGCCGAGGCCUCUUCGUCAGCGCUCGCUUGCGUGACGUAUGACGCCACGCCGCCGCCAUCCUUAUGCGCCUCCGUCUACGUGCGCUUUCGACUCGAGGAGCGCUUCGUCCCAACAGACAUGGCGGGCGCGCACGAGGAGAGCAUACUACGCGAGCUGGAGACACUCACUGCAGACCGGGCGGCAAGCGCAUGCGGCCUCAGCUCGCGCCAGCGACGCCGCAAGCGCAAACUGCAGCGCCAGCUUGCCUACCUGCGCAACCCAACCCCAUACUUCGACGAGCGGGUCCUAGCACAGCAUCUCUUCGACCUUCUCCCGCUGCGUGAUGGGGUGCAUCAGUCGGCGCUCUUAGGAUCGUUGCCGCAGCCUGCCGUGCAAGCUUUUCCUCAAAAUGUGACGGAGCUUUUACAAGCACGGAAUGAUUUGUUUCAGCUAUCCGAUGCGCGACACGGCAUCCUGGUGCAGCGCGCCGAUGCCCCCAAAGUCGCUCAACGCUCCAUCGAAAGCGUUACUGGGGAGGAAAUACUCCUGCACAUCUUCUCCUCCUAUUCUCUCCGUAGCGACCCGCGAGAAGGGACGACGAUCAGCCGAAGUCUCCCGCGACUGCCGCGACUUGUGCGUGAGCGACUUUUCGCCAUGCAGGAUAUUAUAGCCGAGGUGCUGCUUCUCUACCCUGACAAGGUGGAGGUGCUCGCGGACCGGUCCUCCAACAUCUCACCCCUCUCCUUGUCCUCGUCGCCACACACCAGCGAGGCUGAUGAGCGUGCCUUGCGCGAGUUGCGAGCCGUCCGCGGUCGCAGCGAUUUUUUGGUCCCAUUCCGUUUUGUGGGGCAGUGGCAGGCUAAGUUAACAGAAAAGUACACGAAGCAGCAAGAGAAGGACGCGACGAAGAGUAUGCGUGCCCGCCAGAGAAGCGAAAGCAGCCACCGUCGACCGGCUCGAUACUGACCAGCGUUCGAGAAAUGGGUCGACUGGCGAGAGGCAAUCGUGGUGUCCGCCGGCCAUUCAGGGACGGUGCGUUUGGUGCAGAGUGCUAUGGGUCUUUGACUGCCGUUUCUCGCCCUUUUUCUCUGCGUGUGUGUGCACUUGCGUGUUCUUGCCUUUGUGUGCUCUUAUCGAUCGAUGUUCCUCAUCCGGUAUGCCGAGUUUUCGGUAUCCCUGCAGCUGCCGUGCGCGAGCGCACGCGUGCAUGUGAACGAGGGAGCUCCAACGAACGCCAUCUUUUCGUCACACAAACACAGAGGAAACAGGGUAUCUGACUACCGCGCCGUUGCCCGUCGUACAGCUACUCCAUUCAUGUGAAAGAUCAACU
This 2424-nucleotide unclassified non-coding RNA is filed under the name Leishmania donovani. Its description in RNAcentral is "gene:LdHU3.35.4540(CDS-product:hypothetical_prote in_conserved)". Lineage: Eukaryota; Euglenozoa; Kinetoplastea; Trypanosomatida; Trypanosomatidae. The record is from RNAcentral.